RNAcentral lists this small RNA (127 nucleotides) under Salmonella enterica subsp. enterica serovar Senftenberg. RNAcentral describes it as "RtT sRNA". It matches the Rfam family "RtT RNA". From Rfam's summary of the family: This family represents a bacterial cis-regulatory element known as RtT RNA. The exact function of RtT is unknown although it is thought that it may be involved in changing the cellular response in relation to amino acid starvation. Lineage: Bacteria; Pseudomonadati; Pseudomonadota; Gammaproteobacteria; Enterobacterales; Enterobacteriaceae. The record is from RNAcentral.
GUUUGCACUUGUCGGGGAAGGGUGAGAACCUUCGAUUAAGGUUCGACUCGAGCGAAAGCGAGAGAAUGUUGCCAACGGCAACGGCCCGUGUAGGAGCGAAGCGACGAAUAAUCCUUCCCCACCACCA